AGGAUGUGGUUCAAUUCGAUGCUACGCGAAGAACCUUACCUGGGCUUGACAUGCAGGUGGUAGUGACCCGAAGGGAAGCGACCGGGGUUUAUCCCUGGAGCCUGCACAGGUGCUGCAUGGCUGUCGUCAGCUCGUGCCGUGAGGUGUAUGGUUAAGUCCCGCAACGAGCGCAACCCCUGCCCCUAGUUGCUAACCCGCGAGGGUGCACUCUAGGGGGACUGCCUCCGUCAAGGAGGAGGAGGGUGGGGAUGAUGUCAAGUCAUCAUGGUCCUUAUGCCCAGGGCUACACACGUCCUACAGUGGCCGUUACAAUGGGAAGCUACAUCGCGAGGUGAUGCCAAUCCUGUAAAAGCGGCCAUGGUUCGGAUUGCAGGCUGCAACUCGCCUGCAUGAAGAUGGAAUCGCUAGUAAUCACUGAUCAGCAUGCAGUGGUGAAUACGUUCCCGGGCCUU
This 452-nucleotide ribosomal RNA is filed under the name uncultured bacterium. RNAcentral's name for it is "bacterial SSU rRNA". It matches the Rfam family "Bacterial small subunit ribosomal RNA", at positions 936 to 1382 of the family's 1533-position model. The record is from RNAcentral.